Cucumis sativus (cucumber) is the source of this 1853-nucleotide long non-coding RNA. RefSeq lists it as uncharacterized. The transcript has 2 exons. The record is from RefSeq and is a predicted model, not a curated record. Lineage: Eukaryota; Viridiplantae; Streptophyta; Magnoliopsida; Cucurbitales; Cucurbitaceae.
AUAAUAUAAUAAUAAUAAUAAUAAAAUCUAAACUAAAGAGAAGCCCAAACCACCAAACAUCUUCCUCUUCAUUUCGCUUCACUUCACAUAUCUCUCCUUCAACCUCUUCUUCAUUCGCACGCAACCGUCUCCUUCAACAAGAUCUCUAUCAUUCGCCCCCUCGCUCUGCCUCAUAGCCUCUCCGACGUUCGCCUCCCUCUCAAUCUUCACCUCCACCUCACAGUCUCUCCAUCGUUCGCUCCUCUCUUGAACAUAUCUAAGGUAUCGAGCAUAAUUCAGGUUAUUCCAUCCCAUAAUGUCAAUUUCGGGACAAAGCGAGCUUAAUUGAAUGGGUAGAGUGUCAAUGGGAGUGAGGAAAUUUAAUUGGAGCAAAGAAGGAAGGGUGCUACAAGACAGAGUGAACGAUUUUCGUGCACAACCUUCAACACUGUGAAGUUAUCCUUGUUAACUUUGUGGAGAAUAUAUCCAAGUAAGACACAUAAUUCCAAAUCUAGCUAUUUAAAAAAAAUUGCAAAUAUGGCGUUGAAAACUAAAAAAAUGAUAUUUUAUCUCGGAGUCUUUUAAAAAAUACAACAAAGAGGUAAAAUAUUUACAAAGUAUAGAACAAUUUUGAAAGUGAAAAAAAUCCACAUGCCCACAAUAAAAAAUUCCAAAAAUGCCACAUUAAUUGACAUCCAAUGUGCGUGAUAUAUUAGGGAAAUGAUCAUUUAGAUUUGACUAUUCUUUCUGAGAUCCUUUAGAUUUGGGUAGACAAAUCUCAACGAUUUUUUUUCAAGAUUUUUUUUGUACACAAUCGUUUAUAUUUGAAAAACGAUCGUUUAGAUUUGAUCAUUUAAAUUUGGGUAGCCAAAUUGCAACGAUUUUUUUUCAAGAGUUUUUUAGUACACGAUCAUUUAUAUUUGAAAAAUGAUCAUUUAGAUUUGGUACACAAUGUUUAUAUUCGUAACAUGACCCACUACAAGAACGAGAGUUUCCCAACAUCGUGACGGACGUCGGGAAACAAAACGUCAAGAAACAAAACUAAUAUUGACGCAGAUAAUGUGGCGUUGGUUUAAUCUCGCAAGCCUGAUGUCGUAAUCCCAAACGUCAGACAUCGUCCGUCAUUUUCAUUUUUUUUAAUUUAUCAUUAAGCUUUCCCCACGCACUCAAAAAUAACGUCAGGGAACCUUAAAAUGUAAAUUUUAUUUCUAAACUUUUCCCCGACGUCAAGGACAAACACAUCAGAAAAAAGUGAAUAUAUUAUUUAAUUGUUGAGCAUCCCCUAACGUCAACGUUCCUGGCGUCGGGAAAAGAAUUAUUAUUAUUUCAUUUUUUAAUUUUCCCCGACGCCAUGCGAACAUAUGUAAAAAAUGUGUAAAUAUUUUCUCGACGUUUCACUUUAUGGCAUCGGAAAUAGGGAGAUCUCCCGACGUCUUCGAAGUGCGUCAGAAGAUCUCCUACAUAUUUGAGUUGUGCGUUCAUAGAAAACAGAACUUAAAUCGAAAGGAAAAGAGGAAGAUCAGGCCUAAAGAGAGAGAUCGUCGUGCCAAAGUCGUAUGCCAUCCUAUUUGACUGCCGCUCGCCACCUAUCCUGUCGUACCACCCCUGUCCAAUGUUGUUGCCUACCCUAUCUCUUUGUUCUUUGAACUUCAAAAAAGUAAUUUUAAAAAAAAAAAAAUCCCUAAAACUCUUUGAUAAUUUAGAUUUAUUUUGUGGUUGAAUUAGAUUUAUAUUUGAUUUUGUAGGAGUGGAUUAAUGGAUUAUAUUGUAAUGAAUUAGUGUGUACAAUUUGUGGAAUGUUGUGAUUGUUGUUGUAUUUGUGGAAUAAAUUCUUUGAACAGUAAAACAAUAAAACAUAAUACGAAGAGAAAGAA